Molecule: long non-coding RNA, 418 nt
Organism: Vitis vinifera (wine grape)
Lineage: Eukaryota; Viridiplantae; Streptophyta; Magnoliopsida; Vitales; Vitaceae
Exons: 2
Source: RefSeq, a predicted model, not a curated record
AAAUUGCCUUCUUUGGCCAUCCAAUAGCCUACAUUGCUCCAAGUUGUUUUGGUCAACCCAAUGCAUUGAUGAUUCAUGUGGUGAGCUAUGUGGAUAAAAUGAAUAUCAUUCUAUCAGUUGAUGAAAGUACAGUCCCUGAUCCUCACCAGCUGUUUGAUGACCUUGAAGAGUCUUUCAACCUCAUCAAGAAUGUUGUGAUGGCUAGAGACUAAACUCCACAGAAUGUCAUGUAGCAAGGGCUAGGGUCAAUGUAAUUAAUAUAUAUAAUGUUCUGAAAUCAUUGUCUUAAGGUUCCUGCAAUAAUGAUGUUGUAUUAGAUGGCUCUCUACUAAAUAAAAAUGCCUCUCUACUGUAUUUUUAUCUUAAUUCAAGUUCAUAUUUUUUGGACUUUAUUUCAUUUUUAUUUACUGUAUUUUGA